CAAGGAGGCAGCCGGCCACGGUAGGGUCAGCGACUGGGGUGAAGUCGUAACAAGGUAGCCGUAGGGGAACC
RNAcentral lists this ribosomal RNA (71 nucleotides) under Candidatus Liberibacter asiaticus. Its description in RNAcentral is "partial 16S ribosomal RNA". Lineage: Bacteria; Pseudomonadati; Pseudomonadota; Alphaproteobacteria; Hyphomicrobiales; Rhizobiaceae. The record is from RNAcentral.